Molecule: unclassified non-coding RNA, 135 nt
Organism: Panthera pardus (leopard)
Lineage: Eukaryota; Metazoa; Chordata; Mammalia; Carnivora; Felidae
Source: Ensembl
AAGCUCCGCGGGCUGCCCUUUGCACUAAGUAAUUUUUGGCAAUUUUUUAAGUGAUUUUUCGGCGGAGUCCUAGCGGCGCUAUAAUCUCGGACAGGUUAUCCCGUCUCUCCCGCUAGAUUGAUGAGAUCAGGCAUC